UCCUCCUCCUUUCUCUUUCUGACUCUAUGUACCAACGAGCAGAUACUGGGCUGGGCGAGCUCUUCUUCCGCCAGCUGCAGCGCCGCCUCUUCAUAACAAAGCAACACUUCCCUUCGGCAGCAGGUUUCCCAGUCGAAAACCACACCCUCCCUGAGCCAGGACAGGUGCAGCAGACAGGACUCGCUGCACUGUGGAUGCUCCUCCCAGCGAUGACACCUUUCUGCACCUCCUCUUUUCUGAAGCGGUCUCUGAUGAUGGCUCCAUAACUGCACCUCCGCUAGUGUCUGGUAUGUCUGCCCUGGAAACAGAGGGCCUUCGCUGGGGCAGAGAGGAGGGGUGCAUGUCCCUUUCGCAGCACACCUCCAAGAUGAUGAGACCCCCACAGUUAACCGGCUAAGCCUUCACAGACACAGAGACAGAAGAGGACACUUCAUGUGCAGCUCAUGCAGACAGACUGUGGGUCUGACCAUAGGAGUUCAAUGGUGCACAAGAAGAUAUGGGCGUCCCUCAGACUAUAAUCACGUCCCUCUCUGGGAGACGCAAUGGAUAAUCAUGUGACAUCCUGCAGGCCUGCUGGCCACAGUCGAUACUGGCAUGGUCCAGAUGCACCAAAUCUGGGGACCAAAGAGUGCAAUAAACCAAAUAGUGCCUUAACGUUCCCCCAUUAGACCCCUAUUUUAGGCUAAAUAUAGCGCCAUCAUCCUGACUUCCUUUCCUCGGAAACCCAACCUUUCCCAUAAACUCCUAUAGAAAAGUAACACAAGAAGCAGUGCUUUCAGCUGACCCUUUGCUCCAGUACAAUCAGAUUGGGAAGGAGGGGAAAACAAGACUGUCGCAGUAAACGUAAUGCAGUAUCUCAACAAGAUAUAACGUUUCAAUCUUUCUUCAACGCUGGCUGUGGUUGACCUUUGAACUUUCCACAAAUGGCAUGGCCACUGGGACAAAUAAUAGAUGUGAUUCUUUUGCAAAAAUGUUGUCACUUCAGACUGAGGCAGUAACCGUGGCUUGUGCUGGCUCCCCUGACUCAUACUAGCAAGUAGAUUCAAGCAGAGUCAUUCAACAAUGACGGUGGCACAUAUAUAGUCUUGUCCAAGGACCUGUGCAAUAGCUGUCAGAAAAAUAAGACUCUCCUGUGGCUCUCGAGCAAGAGGUUAACCACAGGGAUAGACCAAAUACAGUUUAGUGCCACAGCUUAGCUAAAACACUAUGAUUAUCACAACACAGGGUUAGAAUAUAAAACAAUCCUUACCAUUGACCAAUAGUUAUCUACAAUAUACAUCCAACCAAGAAAGAAAUAAAUAUAGCAUGUAUAAUAUAGGGAUCACAUGACAUUAUUAUACUCAUGUACUGUGUUUUUACAGCAUGGCACAAUGUGCAUUACGUUCAGCUGAUUCUGGGUAAUUUCAUCCUCUUCUUGUUCUUCUGAUCUGGCUUAUUUGUAAAGGCAAACAAGCGCUGUGAAUAGGAACAGAAACUGAUUCCAGGGAACUCUGGUAAAUGGCAUAAUGAAAUUGCGAGACGAGGGGAAGGGGGAAUUCAUUACUUCAUCUAGCCCAUGUCAAGAUAUGGGAAACAUGCUAUGAUGCCUACAUUCAUUUUCUCCUCAAUUAUUUUUGCGGCGGGUGUCUGGUGCUGUGCACUGUGACAGGACUCCUGCUCAUUUUUUACAGCGUAUGCAAAGCAUGCUCAUGGAGAGGUAGCAGGAGAACACACCCUGAGGAGCUUCUGUCACUUGGCUGUGACUGCUGACUUUUCCAAGGAGUUUCAUUUCUGUUUCUGUCCAUCUGUCACCCGUUCCACUGUCUAACCACCGUUGGCAUGGAAACACGAAAUUGGCACCCGGUGCUCUCGGUCUGCCGCCAAAAUCCUCUCCAGGUGUUCUCCGCCCUUCCUAUGACCUGGGAUCAACCUGGUGAGGGCAGCAAGGUCAGCCGUCCUCAGGUGGAAGACAUCGGCCUGACCAGGCGAACAGAACGACAGGCCGUCUCUUAGCAUUUGCGUAAUUGGUGUGGCAUUUAGCGCGCAACAUGUCUUCUCUAGGGGAGACCAAAUUGACCUUCCUCGUUUUAAAGGUGGCUCAAGGCCUGUGAUUUUCAGGGCUCACCACAGUUCAAGAGGAAGGUCUUCUGAUUACUGCAGAAUAGCAGUUAUGAUGUUUCUGCAUUUAUGUGAUCAAUACAACCUUGUUGUAUUGUUUUGCUGAUGCUAUGCUAAUAGUAUCAUGCUGAAGACAUGGGCAAGAACCCUUAUCAAUCACACGUUUUGUUAAUUUGGUUCACAAGAUUCAAAGAUGUUCUGAGGUUUCUAAAGGCUGGAAUUCCCACAAAAAAACAAUUAUUUGAAUUUAAAAUGCAGGGUCUCAAGAAAUAUGAUGGUGGUGGUAUUGGGGGAGGGGUGGUACUGACAUCGCCAUCAUUAUUUUUCAGCAUCUCAAUUACUCUUUCCAUUGGAAUGCAAAUCCCAACUCCAAACAGAUCUCCAACAGCAGGCCUGUUCACUCUCUGUAGUUUCCAAUCUAUCCAAAGCAGAAGAGACAUCUCCUGUGGGCACUAUCACUGAGUACAGCACAACUAUGAAUAAACACAGGGAAGCCUUCACUCAGUACAAGAUGCUUACGUUAAUAUAUGUAAUAUACAAUAAUCACAGGCAAUCAAUCACCACAAACGGCCCAUCUGGGCACAAUAAAAAUAGGGAAGCUUCCACCAAUGAAUGGAGGGAAGCAUUUACAGUAUGUUUGGAACCAACAAACACAGAGGAAGAAGGCCUAUUCUCAAGUGUGUUGUUAUUUUACACACAUUCUACUGUGUUGUUGGGUGUUGACUUGUCCUCUUGGAUAGCAGCUAAGCUCCCCUGACUGCCUUGAGAGUGUGACUUUAGGGAUGGGCUGUAUUGAUGUGUAUGGACAUUAGUGUGGAUACUGUCUUUCUGUCCUCAGUAUUCUAGACACGCUUUUAGCUGGGAAUGAAGUCACUCCUGAUUUGGGUGACGCACCUCGUAGUGAAAGCCUGUCAGGCCUGACAACUGCCAGCUCCG
This is a long non-coding RNA of Anguilla anguilla (European eel), 3033 nucleotides long. RefSeq lists it as uncharacterized. The record is from RefSeq and is a predicted model, not a curated record. Lineage: Eukaryota; Metazoa; Chordata; Actinopteri; Anguilliformes; Anguillidae. The transcript has 3 exons.